Molecule: ribosomal RNA, 82 nt
Filed under: Stachybotrys echinatus
Lineage: Eukaryota; Fungi; Ascomycota; Sordariomycetes; Hypocreales; Stachybotryaceae
Description: Memnoniella echinata partial 28S ribosomal RNA
Rfam family: Eukaryotic large subunit ribosomal RNA
Source: RNAcentral
UUGACCUCGGAUCAGGUAGGAAUACCCGCUGAACUUAAGCAUAUCAAUAAGCGGAGGAAAAGAAACCAACAGGGAUUGCCUC